Heterocephalus glaber (naked mole-rat) is the source of this 5557-nucleotide long non-coding RNA. The record is from Ensembl. NCBI's taxonomy places the organism in Eukaryota, Metazoa, Chordata, Mammalia, Rodentia, Bathyergidae.
GGAAAGGCAAAAGGAAGAGCUGGUGGGAGAGGGAUACCUGUGCAUUGUGCUGAGUGAUUUCUCAUAAUGUUACUGGCCACAAGGUGUCUAUCUCUUAAUAAGCAGGAUGUGUAGCUUCGAGAAUGUGUCUGCAGCCACCUCCAGCCCCAGGGAAUCAGAAAAGUUGUUUAAAAAUUCUGUAGGUGGCUUGAGGCUCUGUCUAGAGGCUUAGGGAGUGCGUGAUCUAUAAUACUCAUCUAAUGACUAAGCUACAGCAUCACAAGGCUCACAGAUGACUAAUAAUUAUUCUCAUUCUACAGUGCACAGUUUGGUUUGCAAAACAAAGCAAGUGAGGCCUCUGCCCUUUUGUCCUGUGACUCACUCCUGUAAAAUAUUCAGUGGCAAGGCUGAGAGAGCACAAGACAUGCGGGUCAGCACUCCUGCAUCUUCUGCCUUUCUUUCUCCCACAGUCCCAGGCUUCUUGGGGCUGCAAGUCCAUUUUUAAUGCUUGAGCCGACCGUGUUCUGUGUGGUGAUUAAGACCAGACUUUGGAUUUUAACAUGGAGGUUCCACCCCGGUGGAGAGAGUGAAAAAAAAGUUAGAGUUGCCAUGGAAACCAAUGGAUUUGAAGUGCUUAGUACACUGCAUCGGUACAGAUGGAGUUCAAGAAAUGAGUGAAUUGAGAUUCUCUUGGUGUGUUCAUCCUCCUGAAACAGGUUUUCUACAUCUUCAUGGAGGAAGGUGUUAGUUCUUAAGCACCAACCUCUGAAGAGUGAUCCCUAAACUUUGGCUGGUAGAUGAUCACUGAGCAUUUCUGACUCGAUGGAGCAAAGGAGCUGGGGUUCUUGAAAAUACCAGAUGCCUGGGCAGUGUUUGCAUGUAUUGGUUUGGCUGGCUUGUGACUACUCAGAUAACCAAGGGGUGAAUAUUACUGAGCAUAAUGUAGGUAGAAUUGAUGGCCUUGCAUGCUGACCUCAGAACACUGAUCUUUAGGAACUGUGAUGAAGGAAGCCCUAAACCCUGGAUGGGACAGGUUAUGGGCAACUUAAGCACAGUGAAGGCCAGAGGGCCAAUCCCCAAAUGUUGGGGACUAGAAAGUGUGAUGGGUUAUUUGUCAACAGGAGAGCGGAUAGGGGACCCCAGGGUAAUUAAUGACUGCUAUUGGGCUUCCUGGCACUCUGUCAUUGGGAAUCACAGGUAGUUUUUACUCGAUUUAGACAAAUGAAACGAUGCAGCAUUUCUUGGGAGCCAGUGUGGAAUAAAUUCUCACUGAGUACAUUGAUAAGCAACAAGUAUGGUCAGGCUUCAUCUGUAGUAUAUGACGAAUGAGAGUCGAAAUUGUUCUCAUUCCCUCUGGGUGAGAGGCAGAGUCUGAGACACACAAUUUAUUAAUUAUAGAGUGUGAAUCCUGGAGUCAAGGCAAGAGCAGAGUUGUUGGUUCCUUCAGACCAUCUUGGGCCCGGAAGGCAAGUUACUAAACCCUUCUGACGGUGUUUCUUUACCUGUAAAGUACAGAUAGGAGGAGAAUCUCUCACAGAGUGUUGUUGGUCAUAAGAGGUAAAUGAUAGAAUCAUAUCUGGCUUGCAUAAUCAAUCAAUUGGUAGCUGUUAUUACUAAUAGUAUUAUGAUUGCAUGGCAGCUGUUGAAGGAAGCUUUGGCUUCCCUAACAUAGUUGCUGAAGAUCAGUAGGGGGAGGUCAGUAUGCGGGGCCAUAAGCUUUCCCACAUUAUUCUCAGCCAUGUUCACCACAGAGCGAUCUGGGGUGCUUAAGGGCCAAUUAUAUGUUGGCUUAAAAACAUCUUUUGACAAUGGCUAUGCAAUUUCAUGGAGAUGCUCUGAACAUAAGGAGCUCUGCCAUGUUGGGAAACAGCCAAGGAAAAGUUAAGGAGAUAGGACAUUUGGGGAAAAUUUGAAGACAACUGUUUUUCUUUGGAGGUAGUAGAGAACAUAAAGGGGAGUUAAAAUUUUGGAAGAAUGGAAAUAUUGGAACUUCAUUUAUAAUCCUCUUUAGGGACCUAAAUACAUUUUAUUCUUUUAGAAAAAUAAAUAAUUUGUCAUAAAUUGUUCUGUUUAUUUUUUCCCUUUGGAGAUCCAAAGUACUGGCAGUGGAUAAGGACAGAAACCACUAAACAUUUAGAGCAGUGUUUUCUUUACUGUUUUCCUGUUUUCUUGAGAGGUUAAAACAAAGCAGAACAAAAAUCUUGUUUAGAAACAUCUCUUAGCACAUUUGGUUUUUGGGGGCCCUUAAUCCUGGAGCCCACACAGGAUCAUUUUAUACCUCCUUUCUGUUUUCUCUAUAGUUCAAUUCAAAAUAUUUUCUUUUGAUUAAAUCUAAUAGAAGCUAAUUUAGUUCAUUUCUUAUGAAAUGAGUGGAUGUGACCAGAGUCUUAGUCAUCAUGGGGACACAAAAGGAACAAGUGGCACAUCUUUGACCCUUGAUAGAUUUAUGGCCUACUUGGGUAGCACUGAGGCUCAGCCAGUGACUCGGCCAGCCACACAGAUGCAGGGGGAGGAAUCCCAAAUGUGGCAUUUUACCACUUCUCCUCUCUAUCUGAUACUCUUUGAUGUUUUCUGACAUUUUUUUCAAAGUGAUUAACAAUCAUCAAAGAAAACUGAGUAACAUAGAAAAAUAUGAAAACCUACUUUUAGGUGAAAGGAAGCAGGUUGCAAAUCUACACACACGUUAUUAGCCUCAUUGUGUAUAUGUGUGUAUGCAGUAAGAUAGGCAAUGUGACUUGUAUCAUCUCAGGUUUGACUUUAAUCCUCACACUAAACAAUAAGUGGUCAAAUAUUCUCAGUUUCUGAAAUGAUGUGCUAAGAUGUCAAUUAAGCCCUUAACACAGGAAAUAUCACAGAGCUCUUUCAACAUUAGCUUGCUCCCCACCUCUACAAAAGGGAUGCUAAGAAUUGUUAGGAGGUUGAAAUACAUGGGAAAGUGCUUUGGAGAGAAUUAUUGGAGUCAAAUACUUCUUCUUUUUUUUUUUUUUUUACUAUACACAAUAUGCACUUGUCAGCCAUUAUCAUAAUGCUUUGUAACAAACAAUAACACAGUCAUAUUAGGUUGUGACAAUAGACAUUUAUUUUUAUGGAUUUUCAGGUCGACUGCAAUUUAGAUGAUCUCACCUGGGCACUUCUGGACAGUUCUACUGCACACUGAUUUCAUCAGGCUUAUUUCUAAAUGCAGGUUGACUUCAGGUCUAUUCCAUGUGUCUCAUCACUCUAGAGCAAGAACAUGGUUUUACAGUAAUAGCAGCAAUACAGAAAUUAGCUAAAAUAUGUAAUGCCUCUUAAAUUGUGAAAUAGAAUUGGCACAAUUGUGCUUCUUCUGUAAUUGAUAGGCCAAAAUAAGUCAUUAGGCCAAGCCCAACAUCACCUGAUGUGGAGAAAUAAACUCUAUCUUAGGUGAAGGAUAUAUUUAUGAAAACAAUUUUACAGAGAAAAGUAACAGUAACGAUAUAUUUCUCUUGUAAUUUAGGUAAUAUAAGCACUAGUACUUGAUCUGACAUUAACACUUUUAAUAGAGGACUGCAUUGGGAAGACACAAUAGUUGUAGAAUUGGGAUCUAAUAUUUACAUGUGUUUCUGGUAAGCUAGAAAUGGAGUCUGUGGAAGGAAGCUACUUGUGGGCUACCUUGUCAAAACUUUCAGAGAAGAGGACUUCCUGGAGAGGUGGUGACCAGAGGAGAUGAUAAGGCCUAAGUGGAGAGAAAGUCAGUGGUGAACAAUAGUCACACAGGGCCAGCUUUGGGGGGGCUCUGAAGUACCAGUUAUUGUUUCUUGUUUCUCUAUAUCAAGUAGGGUUCAAUCAGAGAAAUAGAACUGCCACAAGUGAUGUAGAAUGAGGGUUCAGAUCUUGCACCACUCUGGGAGCUGGUGGAAAGGCCAUGCAAGGCUGGUUUGGCUCUGAGGUCACCACAGACCUGGUGGGGCAGCACUUGAGAGGACAGAUGAACAGGAAGUAAGAAGAGCAGGGCAAAGUGGAACCUACAAUUUUUGGACUGGAAGAUGUACCAGAUCCCCCAACCACUGUCUGUCUUCUACCAGGAUUCGUGGUACAAUGGCCUGGUGUCCAUCACCACAGAGCUGACCAUGCACCUGCCCUCCAGAGAGGGCUGGAGGAGAGGUGGCCCAGUGCUGCUGUGAGCCAACAAACCAGCUGGAAGUUCAGUGACUGUGAGCAGGAGCUGUCACGGUGCCUGGCACCCCACACCAAUCAUGAAGAACAAAGAAACCAAAAUGAGGAGGUCAUUCAGCCUCCCUUGGACACUGUCCACCCCAUCCUUGUCUGAGCCCUCUGGGGGAGGUGGAUACCCACCUGCAAGAGAAGAUGGCCUGCUCUGAGUGCUGCUGUAGGAACUUGAUGCUUUUGUAAUAAUGUGGAAAGAGAAUUCUCAUACUUUGUGGUCCAGAAUCAACCUCCUUCCAGACAAACAACGGGAAUUAUACAAAGACUUAUUAGUGCUCAUGUGAGCAAACUAAUCACACCAUGCACUGUGUCAAAUUCAACUGACCAGAAAAGAAGUGGGAUUUUGUCAUCCUUUGCACUCACUCUAACAAAGCCUGGGUUAUUAUUGUGGGAGCUGAUGAGGAUUAUACAAGAGUGCAAGCUCAAUAACUUGGCUCUCGCAUUAUCCCAUUCCUUGUCACUAGGGAAAAGUAGUCCAAGACUUUGUGGAAACUUGAAUCUUUCUUUUCUACUGUCUGAUGAAAGGAAGUAAGGAAAAAGUUACAAUAGUUUUCUUUAAGAAAGUGGCAAUAUGACUUCAUCUUAUUCCUCACCUUGCAUUCACUCACCAGUUCAGACUAUAUAAAAUGUGUGCCAUUUGCCAGGCCUGUGCUAGGCAACUUUGGGAAGCCAAAAAUGGUGGUGGCAUCAUUUUCAUCAGGAGCAUGUUGUAGGAACAAGAAUGCAUUCUGAGAGCUGGGACUCUGUCUGUCUUAUUCAACAGUGUAUCUCUGUGACCAACAAGAGAAAGCUGGUACUUUGUAGAAGUUUGACAGGCAUUUGUCUUGUGCAGACAUCUGAUACAAUAAACAAACCUGACCUUGAGUGUGUGUAUGUCUGUGGCUGUAUUCCACAAAACAAAGUAAUUAAAAAUUUUAUUAAAACAUGGGGCCCCAUUUCUCUGUUCUCUGCUGGACUGGCAGAAAUGACUAUUCUUAUUCUUUCAUCUCUUGUCUGUUUUUUCUCCUUCGAUGUCACAGCAGAAACCGCAGUGUGCUAUAAACUUACCUCCAUAAUAGAAUGUAGAUGCAUAAAUCAAAACAGCUCCUAACGGGUUGUCUGCAAUAAUAAAUGCUACGGAGGCAACCCGACUGGCAGUGUAAGAGAGAUUAUACAAACCGCUGCCUGGAGAAAACACAGCAUCGUGAAUAAACUCAGCCUUGAAUUAUUUAUAUAUUUUAGCCAUUAUUUUCUCUCCUCAGUCCUGCAAGGCCUGAGAAUGAUUUUCACUGAGAGUCGAGAGUGCCUGGAUUUGACUAUAGAAUACAAAGCCUCACAGUUAGCCUUUGGCCCAGUUUGGGGUGAGAAGGGGUCUGUUCCAUGGGCAGCAGGAGGGGGGCAGUGAAGUGCAGGG